Molecule: long non-coding RNA, 4394 nt
Organism: Drosophila yakuba
Lineage: Eukaryota; Metazoa; Arthropoda; Insecta; Diptera; Drosophilidae
Exons: 2
Source: RefSeq, a predicted model, not a curated record
GAGCGGCAAUCGCAUAAAUCGCCAAUUCACCGCCACCCUCCCUGCCGCCGCCACCCAUUACUCUCUAUAAGUUUUCCUAGGCUUUUCAGGCAAUUUCCCGCUGAGCUUUGUUUGCUCAUUGGGCGCAUCCGUUGCCGGUUUGAUUCCGAGUCUCAUUGUUGUGUCAAUUGUUGUGCUCAUGUUGUUGCAGCAGUUGUUGCAUCUACUGCUGCUAUUUGUCAUUUGCCGUGCAAAGCGCACAAAUCUGAGACACAUUGCACUUUAUCAAGUCGCCAGUCAUAGUCGCAGUCACAGUCAUACCCAUAGUCAUAGUUAUAGUCAGAGAUCAAGGGAGCUCGGGAAAAAUCACAAACUACAAACUGGGGCUCCAUUGCGAUCCAGGGCCAAAAGGAAAAUUAUAGCGCGAUCACUUAACUCACGAUCGCGAUCGCGAUCAGUUGGGGGCAUUGAGAUUAUCCAGCUACUGGCAACGGAAGUUGCCUCGGACCAUGGAAACGCACGAAGUCACACGCGAAAAAUAUGCGCACCUGGUUGUAGAAUCUAGACCUUUGGCAGACAGGUGUUAACAAAAUAUACAACUUAACUUUUUUGAACAUUAACUUCAAUCUUAUAGUUAUUAGGAUUUCAUAUAUAUUAAUAUAUUCCCCAGAGAGGUGUUAAUGUAUAUUAUAUUUUAUUUAAAAUAUAUAUUCAACUGUUUCCCUCAGUGCACCUGCACCCUUGCAACCUCACUAGCCUGUUCGUUCCCUCGAAAUAAUUUUUAUUGAAUAAUUUUUCAUUAUUUUUCGUUUGAAUUGAGAGGCAGCAGUAGCCACAGCGCAGCCUCCGAAUCCGCCAACAUAGCCUGUCGCUGGAUCUGGGAGACCAAAAGACCGAAGAUUCGGAGACUGGAGAGCUGGAGAGCAGGAGAGCCUUCUUGGCCUGGCCUUCUUCUGCUGGGCCGUCAAAAACAAUAAAGUCCAAAACGAGCGAACAAUGUAAAUGGCAAGUCAUGAUUUCGCUGUUAUGCGCUGUUAAAAGGGGCGCUCGCCGUUCGACACGAUCAAGAACAAAAACCAAAAACCCAAAAACAAAAAAAAAGUGUGGGGGCACAGGAUGAGGCUGAGGAUGGGGGUUUCGUAUUGGGAUUGGGCCAAAAGAUGUGGAGGAUGCUACCGUUGCCAACAACGACGCCAACGCCAAUGCAAACGAUGGCCCGAAGACCAAAAGACCAGAAGACCAGAAGACAUGACCCAAAACAAUGCACACAGCCCAAAGAGAUCCCAUGCCAGCCCAGAAGCAAAAGCAAAGUCAGCAGUCAGCAGCCUCUGGAGAACCAACAAAAUACUUUACUCAUACUUUAUGCCCAAAAUGCUGCAGAGUGCCCGCGGGUUGACCAGAUCAAUGCAAUUGUUUGCCCCUUUUUAGUCAAGUUGUGCGCACUUCAUAAGCAAAUACAACAAAUCCAAACAACAACACACACACACAUCCGAGGAAAAGGGCCAAAAGAGCAAACAAUGGAAAAACCCAGGCUUUGAGUGCGGUGCUGCGUUUAUUUUCAUUUUUUUCUUGGGGUUUUGGAUUUUAUAUUUGGUAGAAAAGAGGAACGGAAAAGGAGUCAAGUCAAGAAGGUAGUUUGGCACUUUGAUUGGAACUACCGAAAAUUGCAGGAGAGCAUCACUUUCUUUGACGGACAUCGAAUCCUGAAAUGCACUACAAAAUAUAUUAAUUUGAAUGAUUAUACAGAUAAUUUAACUAUAUUGAUAACCAUGAAUACAUUAAUAAGUAAAAGUUAACAAAAGAAGUAGAACGUGUUAAUGAUUAACACAAUAAAUACAUGAUUACCCAGGAAUGCAAGUAAGAUAUUUGUUUUCCACAUUUUUUAAUGCUGAUUUAAAAUGAAGAGCACGCUCUACCUGCAAUACCCCACUUUCUUAGCCUAAGCGAAACUUCCUAAGCCAGUUAAACGUAACUCAGUCGCAAUUUGACAUACUGACGUGUUUAUAAAGCUGCAAAAAGUACAACAAAAAAAACUGAACAGAGGACAAACUAAACGAAACUGAAUCGCAGACAGCAACAAAACUCUUUCUGACCUUGAAGACCAAAAGCUGGGAUGUGUCUUCAAGCAUUUUAUCAUCAUUUCCGACGAAGAUUCAUUCUUAAACGUGCACACAGCGACAAGCCAUUCAAAACACACGAAAAAAAAAAAAAGUAAAAAUCAAAAAACACAACAGAGAGCAAAACCAGCCAAGUUGCAACAAUGAAAUGCGGCGACAAAAAGCCAGGGAAGAAGACCUGCCCCCAACUCGCCCCAAACCAGAACAUAUAUCCCUAUAUCAUACCCGCUAGCGGUACCGUUUUGUGCGCAUGCGUUGCGAAUGGCGGACGCGGCUCAAAGUGGAUGCCGCCGCAGAACCUUCCACCGAAGUUGGUAAAAUUGGGGGGAGCUUUAAGGGGGCUACUAAAAUUUACGCGUGUGCUAAACACGAGACUUCCACGAACCCGAAAAAAAAGAGCCCUUUAUGUGGCGUGGCCAAAGGCUGCAGUUGUCGUCUGCCUUCUUAUUGUUUCUAAAAUGAAAAACGAAAUUCCUCAGGAAACCAAAAGCGAAAAAAAACAGAAGUAGCAUUUCAUUGCUUGAAGGAUUUCUAUUGUUUGUUCGUCAAGAAAGUAAGAUGAAAUUCUUUUCACUGCUCUGGAAGACCAAACUCAAUUUGAUUUGCUGCACAGCCAGAAAAUCUAGUACCAGUAGAAUAAAUAAAUAUUCAGCCCUAUUCCUAUUUAGUUGAAUUGUUACCCAAUUGUUACUAUUCUCACAAGGAUCUUACUUGUAUACAUCUACAUUUGCCAGUUCAGGGUCUAAAAUUUCUCUGAGUGCACCUGUUUCGGAAAACAAACAAGCGAGCUGAGCUGCAACCGCUCCAACAUCAGAUCAUGAUCAUUAAAAUCCGGCCAAAAAGACAUUCCACAUCGCGGCGGGUUUAUGGCCAGCGAUCGAUUACAACGCGAAGGUCGCGCCAUCGAUCGAUCCGUCGCUCAUUAGAUGCCAAAUAAAAUGCGGUAUAAAAACAUCAACUGAAUUGGCUGCGAGACAUUUGCGUGUGAAGCGCGGACUGAAAACGGUUUUGUUUUCUGCGCCACAAGCUUUUCCAUCUCGAGUGUUGGCACGUUCUAUGGCCCACAGCCACUUGACCCAACUGGCGCCACUAACUGAAAAACCUGGAGCUUUUACAGCCCAAAACUGAAGGAAAACUGAUGGUUCGGAACACUAUAAAUCAUGUGGCGAACAACAAGAAAAAAACAGUUGAGAAGAAACCACAAAUCUGCUGAAGAGCAGAAGAUUUUACGGAGACAAAGACCCACAGAAGAUGAAGCUUCGAUCGCUUUUAACGCCCCAAGCAAAGGGUACUAAAAGCCAACAGAAGUGUAUAAAAAAGCUAAAGUGAACUAUCGCUAAAAUGAACUUCAGUUUGAAUACAGUUCCCUAUGAAAAACAAAAUUAAAUGUUUUAAAAAUGGAUGUAUAUAUUGCUUUUAAUUCAACUACAUCAAAUAACAUUAUUAACUUGACACUAUUUAGCUCAAACUCUUUAUUAUUGACCCAGUUUCCCUUUUAGUUAGUGCCCACUGUCCCCCGUAUCAGUAUCGCCUUACGUCCACCGCCUGUGUGUGUUUAUAAAUCUUCUUUUAAUUUGUGACAAGAUCAACAAGUUCAAAGUUGUUUCAAUCAAUUGACCUCGCGGCUCCCAGGGGCUACAAAUAUUGUAACAGAUCAGCCAAGAAACGAAAACAAAGCCAGUGGAGGCAAUAAAAAUGGAGAGGAGCAAAAAAAAAAUAUAUUGGUUGUGUGUAGUAGUAUCAAAUUCCAGCGAAAUUUGCGCAACAAUCAGCGAAUUGUGCACGUGCAGCAGUCUCGGGCAUUUAAUUCACUCACAUGCCGCAGAUCGUUGUUGCAGGUUGACCUACAUUUUGCUGGCAGAGAUUUGCAGUCGGCUUAUUAUUCAAUUAAAUGAACGCUGCGGCGACACAGAAUGUGUGCGUUCGAGUGCCGCGAUUGCAGUGAAAGGCCGUUGCGUAUACGCCGCGUGUGUCGGCCGCCAGUGCGUCAUGGCAUGUAACCUGUCCUCAGCCAAAACAGACCCAUUAACCCAGUUACCCAGCCCCCGUUUCCCUGCCAAUGAUACUGCAUACUACUGCUACUACGACUACUACUACUACUUUUGCCUUUGUUUGCCUCAAUUUAAAGUUCAAUUUCAUUGGCCCUGGUCGCGGCUCUCGAAUUGAUGUGACAACUUUGAAGACGACUCGUGUGGGUCAAUGAGCUCAAUACUCUGGAACGCUGCGCUCAAAUGACGCCAAAGUUAUCAGCAAAAUUUAUGGAAAAUGUGCCAAAAAUAAACAGAAUAUGAGACAAAC